This 252-nucleotide ribosomal RNA is filed under the name uncultured bacterium. RNAcentral describes it as "partial 16S ribosomal RNA". It matches the Rfam family "Bacterial small subunit ribosomal RNA", at positions 524 to 776 of the family's 1533-position model. The record is from RNAcentral.
UACGUAGGGUGCAAGCGUUGUCCGGAAUUAUUGGGCGUAAAGAGCUCGUAGGCGGUUUGUCGCGUCUGCUGUGAAAACGCGGGGCUCAACUCCGCGCCUCAGUGGGUACGGGCAGACUAGAGUGCAGUAGGGGAGACUGGAAUUCCUGGUGUAGCGGUGGAAUGCGCAGAUAUCAGGAGGAACACCGGUGGCGAAGGCGGGUCUCUGGGCUGUAACUGACGUGGAGGAGCGAAAGCGUGGGGAGCGAACAGG